AAAUUGAAGAGUUUGAUCAUGGCUCAGAUUGAACGCUGGCGGCAGGCCUAACACAUGCAAGUCGAACGGUAACAGGAAGCAGCUUGCUGCUUUGCUGACGAGUGGCGGACGGGUGAGUAAUGUCUGGGAAACUGCCUGAUGGAGGGGGAUAACUACUGGAAACGGUGGCUAAUACCGCAUAACGUCGCAAGACCAAAGAGGGGGACCUUCGGGCCUCUUGCCAUCAGAUGUGCCCAGAUGGGAUUAGCUAGUUGGUGAGGUAACGGCUCACCAAGGCGACGAUCCCUAGCUGGUCUGAGAGGAUGACCAGCCACACUGGAACUGAGACACGGUCCAGACUCCUACGGGAGGCAGCAGUGGGGAAUAUUGCACAAUGGGCGCAAGCCUGAUGCAGCCAUGCCGCGUGUAUGAAGAAGGCCUUCGGGUUGUAAAGUACUUUCAGCGGGGAGGAAGGUGUUGUGGUUAAUAACCGCAGCAAUUGACGUUACCCGCAGAAGAAGCACCGGCUAACUCCGUGCCAGCAGCCGCGGUAAUACGGAGGGUGCAAGCGUUAAUCGGAAUUACUGGGCGUAAAAGCGCACGCAGGCGGUCUGUCAAGUCGGAUGUGAAAUCCCCGGGCUCAACCUGGGAACUGCAUUCGAAACUGGCAGGCUUGAGUCUUGUAGAGGGGGGUAGAAUUCCAGGUGUAGCGGUGAAAUGCGUAGAGAUCUGGAGGAAUACCGGUGGCGAAGGCGGCCCCCUGGACAAAGACUGACGCUCAGGUGCGAAAGCGUGGGGAGCAAACAGGAUUAGAUACCCUGGUAGUCCACGCCGUAAACGAUGUCUACUUGGAGGUUGUGCCCUUGAGGCGUGGCUUCCGGAGCUAACGCGUUAAGUAGACCGCCUGGGGAGUACGGCCGCAAGGUUAAAACUCAAAUGAAUUGACGGGGGCCCGCACAAGCGGUGGAGCAUGUGGUUUAAUUCGAUGCAACGCGAAGAACCUUACCUGGUCUUGACAUCCACAGAAGAAUCCAGAGAUGGAUUUGUGCCUUCGGGAACUGUGAGACAGGUGCUGCAUGGCUGUCGUCAGCUCGUGUUGUGAAAUGUUGGGUUAAGUCCCGCAACGAGCGCAACCCUUAUCCUUUGUUGCCAGCGGUCCGGCCGGGAACUCAAAGGAGACUGCCAGUGAUAAACUGGAGGAAGGUGGGGAUGACGUCAAGUCAUCAUGGCCCUUACGACCAGGGCUACACACGUGCUACAAUGGCGCAUACAAAGAGAAGCGACCUCGCGAGAGCAAGCGGACCUCAUAAAGUGCGUCGUAGUCCGGAUUGGAGUCUGCAACUCGACUCCAUGAAGUCGGAAUCGCUAGUAAUCGUGGAUCAGAAUGCCACGGUGAAUACGUUCCCGGGCCUUGUACACACCGCCCGUCACACCAUGGGAGUGGGUUGCAAAAGAAGUAGGUAGCUUAACCUUCGGGAGGGCGCUUACCACUUUGUGAUUCAUGACUGGGGUGAAGUCGUAACAAGGUAACCGUAGGGGAACCUGCGGUUGGAUCACCUCCUUA
This 1543-nucleotide ribosomal RNA is filed under the name Salmonella enterica subsp. enterica serovar Infantis. RNAcentral's name for it is "bacterial SSU rRNA". It matches the Rfam family "Bacterial small subunit ribosomal RNA". The record is from RNAcentral. Lineage: Bacteria; Pseudomonadati; Pseudomonadota; Gammaproteobacteria; Enterobacterales; Enterobacteriaceae.